AACGAACGCUGGCGGCAUGCCUAACACAUGCAAGUCGAACGAGACCUUCGGGUCUAGUGGCGCACGGGUGCGUAACGCGUGGGAACCUGCCCUUAGGUUCUGAAUAACUCCCCGAAAGGGGUGCUAAUACCGGAUAAUGUCUUCGGACCAAAGAUUUAUCGCCUUUGGAUGGGCCCGCGUUGGAUUAGCUAGUUGGUAGGGUAAAAGCCUACCAAGGCGACGAUCCAUAGCUGGUCUGAGAGGAUGAUCAGCCACACUGGGACUGAGACACGGCCCAGACUCCUACGGGAGGCAGCAGUGGGGAAUAUUGGACAAUGGGCGAAAGCCUGAUCCAGCAAUGCCGCGUGAGUGAUGAAGGACUUAGGGUUGUAAAGCUCUUUUACCCGGGAUGAUAAUGACAGUACCGGGAGAAUAAGCUCCGGCUAACUCCGUG
RNAcentral lists this ribosomal RNA (433 nucleotides) under uncultured bacterium. Its description in RNAcentral is "partial 16S ribosomal RNA". It matches the Rfam family "Bacterial small subunit ribosomal RNA", at positions 29 to 507 of the family's 1533-position model. The record is from RNAcentral.